UGACACAAUAUUUAAUUUUGCUAUUAGACAGAAAGCACAUUCCACUUAACGGUAAUCUACCGUUAUUCCAUUACAUGGUUUUUCUAAAAUCCCAAUUGGGAAACUAUUAAUUUUUGAUAUUUUCAUGAAGAAAAAAUAUAUAUUUUCUAUCAUUAUAUUUCUACUCAAAUAACAAAGUAAAACACAAACAACUACAUGCUAAAGAGAAAAAAUAGAUCUUUGAAAUAGAGGAAAUAGUAAAUCUUUACAAAAGAGGAAAUACUAAAUUCUCAAGAAGAAGAGGAGACACCAAAUCCUUUCAAUGAAGAGAGUAUACCAAAUCCUUCCGAUGAAGAGAGUAAAAACUCAUAUCUAUCACAAUAAUAAACUAAGGAAAAAUAUAGAUUUGUUAUAAAAUAAUACAAAUUUAGAGAUUAUUA
This 419-nucleotide unclassified non-coding RNA is filed under the name Hevea brasiliensis (rubber tree). The record is from RNAcentral. Lineage: Eukaryota; Viridiplantae; Streptophyta; Magnoliopsida; Malpighiales; Euphorbiaceae.